This 94-nucleotide microRNA precursor is filed under the name Macleaya cordata. Its description in RNAcentral is "MIR827 microRNA precursor family". It matches the Rfam family "MIR827 microRNA precursor family". The record is from Rfam by way of RNAcentral. Lineage: Eukaryota; Viridiplantae; Streptophyta; Magnoliopsida; Ranunculales; Papaveraceae.
UUAUGUUUUGUUGAUGGUCAUCUAACCAUCUUUCUUCCCAUUAACAUUUUCAUGAGAAAUGGAUUAUGGUUAGAUGAUCAUCAACAAACACAUU